CAAAGGGCUAGGGGCUUCAGACACCAGGGAACGAGGUGGGGACUGAUUAUAUUGCCAAAGGGUUCAACUUCUUUAAACAACCCCCAGUUUCCCUGACCCUCACAGAAGCCGGACAGGGCGGGGAAAGGGGUGAGGGUCUUUUCCAAAGGGUACUGACCUCUUCCCAAAGUCUCCCCAAGCUCGCCAAUCCACCAAAAGUACCCAGCUUUUUAGUUCAGCUUUUAAAAAAUAACCACAAUCAUUUUAAAUGUCUACAAAACGUAACUUUCGUCCCCUCCCUCCCCAUCUCCCAAGUCAACAGUGUGGGAUUCGGGGAGGGAGAGCGAGCUAAACGGACUAGUUCACAGUCCAGCUCCCUACUUUCCCCCGGCCGCCAGGGUGCCUGCAACUACACGCAUGCGCUGCAUGACGCGCCCCCCACACGCAUGUCACGCCCCUCCAGCGCUCCGGGAACGCACGGAAACGGGGCAGGGGGCGGGGCGAUUGGGGAGGAAUGAAUGGCUGGGGGUUUUCCAGAGCUCAGCGGCUCCCCCUCCCCAACACACACACAGCAAUAAGUUUCUC
Molecule: long non-coding RNA, 564 nt
Filed under: Marmota monax (woodchuck)
Lineage: Eukaryota; Metazoa; Chordata; Mammalia; Rodentia; Sciuridae
Source: RNAcentral